This 584-nucleotide ribosomal RNA is filed under the name uncultured bacterium. Its description in RNAcentral is "partial 16S ribosomal RNA". It matches the Rfam family "Bacterial small subunit ribosomal RNA", at positions 355 to 937 of the family's 1533-position model. The record is from RNAcentral.
UGGGGAAUUUUGGACAAUGGGCGAAAGCCUGAUCCAGCAAUGCCGCGUGUGUGAAGAAGGCCUUCGGGUUGUAAAGCACUUUUGUCCGGAAAGAAAUCCUCUGGGUUAAUACCUCGGGGGGAUGACGGUACCGGAAGAAUAAGCACCGGCUAACUACGUGCCAGCAGCCGCGGUAAUACGUAGGGUGCAAGCGUUAAUCGGAAUUACUGGGCGUAAAGCGUGCGCAGGCGGUUUUGUAAGACGGAUGUGAAAUCCCCGGGCUUAACCUGGGAACUGCAUUCGUGACUGCAAGGCUAGAGUAUGGCAGAGGGGGGUAGAAUUCCACGUGUAGCAGUGAAAUGCGUAGAGAUGUGGAGGAAUACCGAUGGCGAAGGCAGCCCCCUGGGCCAAUACUGACGCUCAUGCACGAAAGCGUGGGGAGCAAACAGGAUUAGAUACCCUGGUAGUCCACGCCCUAAACGAUGUCAACUAGUUGUUGGGGAUUCAUUUCCUUAGUAACGUAGCUAACGCGUGAAGUUGACCGCCUGGGGAGUACGGUCGCAAGAUUAAAACUCAAAUGAAUUGACGGGGUCAUAGCUGUUUCC